Molecule: ribosomal RNA, 497 nt
Filed under: uncultured bacterium
Lineage: Bacteria
Description: partial 16S ribosomal RNA
Rfam family: Bacterial small subunit ribosomal RNA
Source: RNAcentral
GAUGAACGCUGGCGGCGUGCCUAAUACAUGCAAGUCGAGCGAACGGACGAGAGGCUUGCUUCUCUGAUGUUAGCGGCGGACGGGUGAGUAACACGUGGAUAACCUACCUAUAAGACUGGGAUAACUUCGGGAAACCGGAGCUAAUACCGGAUAAUAUUUUGAACCGCAUGGUUCAAAAGUGAAAGACGGUCUUGCUGUCACUUAUAGAUGGAUCCGCGCUGCAUUAGCUAGUUGGUAAGGUAACGGCUUACCAAGGCAACGAUGCAUAGCCGACCUGAGAGGGUGAUCGGCCACACUGGAACUGAGACACGGUCCAGACUCCUACGGGAGGCAGCAGUAGGGAAUCUUCCGCAAUGGGCGAAAGCCUGACGGAGCAACGCCGCGUGAGUGAUGAAGGUCUUCGGAUCGUAAAACUCUGUUAUUAGGGAAGAACAUAUGUGUAAGUAACUGUGCACAUCUUGACGGUACCUAAUCAGAAAGCCACGGCUAACUACGUG